GCCUUAGUAGUAUAAUUAAUACACUGGUCUUGUAAACCAGAACCGGAGACUUAUAUCUCCCUAAGACA
Molecule: transfer RNA, 68 nt
Filed under: Crocidura grayi (Luzon shrew)
Lineage: Eukaryota; Metazoa; Chordata; Mammalia; Eulipotyphla; Soricidae
Description: tRNA-Thr
Rfam family: tRNA
About the family: Transfer RNA (tRNA) molecules are approximately 80 nucleotides in length. Their secondary structure includes four short double-helical elements and three loops (D, anti-codon, and T loops).
Source: RNAcentral